GGGCCUGGCCUGAGUAUGAUGAUGAUCUGGUGAGAGCAGAUGGGAGCUUGCUCCCUGAUGUUAGCGGCGGACGGGUGAUUAACACGUGGGUAACCUGCCUGUAAGACUGGGAUAACUCCGGGAAACCGGGGCUAAUACCGGAUGGUUGUUUGAACCGCAUGGUUCAAACAUAAAAGGUGGCUUCGGCUACCACUUACAGAUGGACCCGCGGCGCAUUAGCUAGUUGGUGAGGUAACGGCUCACCAAGGCAACGAUGCGUAGCCGACCUGAGAGGGUGAUCGGCCACACUGGGACUGAGACACGGCCCAGACUCCUACGGGAGGCAGCAGUAGGGAAUCUUCCGCAAUGGACGAAAGUCUGACGGAGCAACGCCGCGUGAGUGAUGAAGGUUUUCGGAUCGUAAAGCUCUGUUGUUAGGGAAGAACAAGUACCGUUCGAAUAGGGCGGUACCUUGACGGUACCUAACCAGAAAGCCACGGCUAACUACGUGCCAGCAGCCGCGGUAAUACGUAGGUGGCAAGCGUUGUCCGGAAUUAUUGGGCGUAAAGGGCUCGCAGGCGGUUUCUUAAGUCUGAUGUGAAAGGGCCCGGCUCAACCGGGGAGGGUCAUUGGAAACUGGGGAACUUGAGUGCAGAAGAGGAGAGUGGAAUUCCACGUGUAGCGGUGAAAUGCGUAGAGAUGUGGAGGAACACCAGUGGCGAAGGCGACUCUCUGGUCUGUAACUGACGCUGAGGAGCGAAAGCGUGGGGAGCGAACAGGAUUAGAUACCCUGGUAGUCCACGCCGUAAACGAUGAGUGCUAAGUGUUAGGGGGUUUCCGCCCCUUAGUGCUGCAGCUAACGCAUUAAGCACUCCGCCUGGGGAGUACGGUCGCAAGACUGAAACUCAAAGGAAUUGACGGGGGCCCGCACAAGCGGUGGAGCAUGUGGUUUAAAUUCGAAGCAACGCGAAGAACCUUACCAGGUCUUGACAUCCUCUGACAAUCCUAGAGAUAGGACGUCCCCUUCGGGGGCAGAGUGACAGGUGGUGCAUGGUUGUCGUCAGCUCGUGUCGUGAGAUGUUGGGUUAAGUCCCGCAACGAGCGCAACCCUUGAUCUUAGUUGCCAGCAUUCAGUUGGGCACUCUAAGGUGACUGCCGGUGACCCAACCGGAGGAAGGUGGGGAUGACGUCAAAUCAUCAUGCCCCUUAUGACCUGGGCUACACACGUGCUACAAUGGACAGAACAAAGGGCAGCGAAACCGCGAGGUUAAGCCAAUCCCACAAAUCUGUUCUCAGUUCGGAUCGCAGUCUGCAACUCGACUGCGUGAAGCUGGAAUCGCUAGUAAUCGCGGAUCAGCAUGCCGCGGUGAAUACGUUCCCGGGCCUUGUACACACCGCCCGUCACACCACGAGAGUUUGUAACACCCGAAGUCGGUGAGGUAACCUUUUAGGAGCCAGCCG
This 1440-nucleotide ribosomal RNA is filed under the name Bacillus subtilis. RNAcentral describes it as "bacterial SSU rRNA". It matches the Rfam family "Bacterial small subunit ribosomal RNA". The record is from RNAcentral. Lineage: Bacteria; Bacillati; Bacillota; Bacilli; Caryophanales; Bacillaceae.